Molecule: long non-coding RNA, 1556 nt
Organism: Heterocephalus glaber (naked mole-rat)
Lineage: Eukaryota; Metazoa; Chordata; Mammalia; Rodentia; Bathyergidae
Source: Ensembl
CAGGGGAAGAGGGAUUGAAGGACGCCUGAACAGAACCCAAAAAGGAAAAAAUGCCACGUAGAGGAGGGAGGGGAGAACGUAACUCCCAUUGCCUAAAACCCGCCUCUGGCCACAGGCACGGACGGGGUUCGAACCCGCGAUCUUCGGUUUACGAGACCGACGCCUUACCACUUGGCCACCGCGCCUGACAGCCGAGCGAGUGGCGGAAGCUCUCAGUGGAGGGGGACGUGGCGCAGGCGCAGGCGCAGGCGCGGGGCGGCGGGCGGACACUCUCCGACACGCCGUCUCCUGGGCCGGCGCCAUGGGAGCCGAAAGCUGGGGAGAAGCCCUGCGCCCCAUGGGCGCCAAACCCGUGCUCCGGGCCGCGGGGGGCGCAAGUUGGGGGUCUGAGAGGCAAAACCCUCUCCUAGCACCCCGCCCGGGCCUCGGGCAGGGUGAACGCUGCCCACGUCCCCUGAGACGCGGGAACCUCGCCCCAAGCGCCGCUGCGGGCUCCCGCGGAGGGUCGCGAUAGGGCGAAGCGGGGGAAGGGCGCCGAGCCACGAGGCUGAGGGCCAGGGCUGGUGAGAAGCUCGGAGAUGCGCCGAAGCGGGCUGACGCAGGCGGAGCACCGGCCGGGAGAGGUGCGGGGAGAGGCCGCGUGGGACUGGGUACGAAGGUUCUGCUGUGACCCUGAAACUCUGACACAGUAAGAAAGAGAUGAACUAGCAAGUCAUGAAAACACACAGAAGAACCUUAAGUCUGUAUCAUGAAGUGAAAGGAACUUCGAGGCUCGUGUGUUGGAAGCUUUAGACCCAUGUGGGCUUUCAGGAGAGGGGCCUAGGAGCUGCCGCCCACAGUGGGUUAGUGCUGCUGUCCUGGAGCAGGGUCCUUGCCAGGUGAUCCAUUUAGCUCCCACUCGCCUUCUCUGCUCAUCUACCACGAGAUGCCAUAGAGCAGCAAGAAGGCCCUUGCCAGAUGCCAACCCUUCUAGCUGCUUCCUAGCCACUAGAAGUACAAGACUGUAAACUUCUGUGUAUCAUAAAUUCCUUCGUCUGAUACCUGUAAUCCCUUGGGAGGCUGAGGCAGGCAGAUCGACACAAGUUUGAGGCCAACCUGGACUACAUAGUGAAUUCAAGGCCAGCCCAAAUGACAUAGUGAGAUCUUGUCUCAAAAAAAUAAAAUAAAUUAUGGCAGCGUGACACAGACUAAGACAGAUGCCAAUCUGAAAAGGUUACAGACUACAUAAUUCUGUGAUGUUCUGGAAAAGGCAAAACUAUGGAGACAAUCGAAAGAUCAGUGGUUUCCAGGAGUUGAGCAGAGGGCAGGAUGAACUGUAGAGCAGAGACAAUUUUUAGGAAGGUGAAACUAUUCUGGCUGCUGCUGUCAUGGAAGAUACACGUUGUUACACGUGUGUGGAAAUCCAUGGGACACGCGUCACUGGCAGGGGGCCCUUAGGGUAACAAGGUGCUAGUGUAGGUUCAGCAGUGGUAACGAAUGUACCCUGGUGGGUCAGGAUGGGGAGGGAUGGGGCACGGACAUAUGGGAACUGCUUUCUGCUCAGUUUUGCUGUGAAC